Molecule: ribosomal RNA, 998 nt
Filed under: Prorocentrum sipadanense
Lineage: Eukaryota; Dinophyceae; Prorocentrales; Prorocentraceae
Description: eukaryotic LSU rRNA
Rfam family: Eukaryotic large subunit ribosomal RNA
Source: RNAcentral
GCUGAAUUUAAGCAUAUAAGUAAGCGGAGGAGAAGACACUAAAAAGGAUUCCUUCAGUAAUGGCGAAUGAAGAAGGAACAGCUCGACCUGGAAAUUGGGGCCUGCGGCUUUGAAUUGUAGUGUUGAGAUGCACGGCCAAUGUAGGCGCAGGUGUAAGCCUUUUGGAAAGAAGUACCCUGGAGGGUGAGAGUCCCGUGCGUCACCUGCAGUUCUCCAUGCACGGCCUGCUUUCUUUGAGUCACGUUCCUUGGAAGUGGAGCGCAAAGUGGGUGGUAAAUUUCAUCUCAAGCUAAAUACAAGUUCAAGACCGAUAGCAAACAAGUACCGUGAGGGAAAGGUGAAAAGGACUUUGAAAAGAGAGUUAAACAGUGCCUGAACUCGCUGAAUGGGAAGCGAAUGGAGCCAGCGUGGCUUGGUGAAAUCUUCUGCAUGCCGCCAUGGUGGUGGCUGUUGCUGCGCAAGCGGGACAGCUGCUGUGAAUGGUGGGCCUGCAGUGUUUUUGGCCUUGCGCGUCCACGCAAGUGCACGAAUAGUGAAACCUUCAGGUGCAGCACCGUUUGUCUUUGGGUGAACGAAUGUGCCUCAUGGAACCUGUUUGUGCACUGCUAGAGGCGUGUCUGGCUGAAGUGUUCUCACCCACGGGUGAGAGCCUUCCUUCCUGACACACUGAUGAGGACCAAAUGGCUCCACUCGACCCGUCUUGAAACACGGACCAAGGAGUCUAACGUGUGUGCAAGUUCCUGGGUGACAAGACCCAUGGGCGCAAUGAAAGUGACGGCCGGGAUGUUUGCACUGGCAACCGACCAAUCAAUUGGGAGAGGUUUGGGUAUGAGCACACCUGUUAGGACCCGAAAGAUGGUGAACUAUGCCUGAGAAGGGCAAACUCAGGGGAAACUCUGAUGGAGGCUCGUAGCGAUACUGACGUGCAAAUCGUUCGUCGUACUUAGGUAUAGGGGCGAAAGACUAAUCGAACCAUCUAGUAGCUGGUUCCCUCCGAA